This is a long non-coding RNA of Glycine soja, 685 nucleotides long. RefSeq lists it as uncharacterized. NCBI's taxonomy places the organism in Eukaryota, Viridiplantae, Streptophyta, Magnoliopsida, Fabales, Fabaceae. The record is from RefSeq and is a predicted model, not a curated record. The transcript is spliced from 2 exons.
UUAAGAUGUUAAACCUAAAAUUUUCAGAAAACACAACUUUCCUCUUACCAAAUGUAUCUGCUUGGCAUCACAAAUCAACUGAACCGGAAGCCAGCACUUGACCAUGGCAGUGGUGCGGGUGUGCCUGCGCCUCCCUUUUCGGCGGACACUUCGUUCUUCUGCUUCGUCCACCGCAUCCCUAUGCUUCAAGCUCUCUCUCUCAUCUCAUAUAAUUAUCGAGAUACAUGUUCGCACCUGACCCACCUUCCAUUUUCAGAUCACUGUUACAACAAUAUCUAUUCUAUGGUCUGUUGGAGGGUGCCCGCCACCUGUUUGACACAAUGGCUGUGACGGAUAUCGAAACUCAUUUUUAUAAUACUCGUCAUUAAGGAUGAAUAUGAUGGGACAUACAUGUGUGAUCUUGGGUGGUGUAGGUAAGUCAUUUUGCUGAUUGAAGUCUAAAAGGUUUCCUACGUCAACUAUCUAUGCCAAACAGAAGAAAAACAAGCAAGGGACAAGUUGUCCCUAGUUUCUGCUUUCUCCUUGGUGGAGCUUUUUUUUCCCUUCUGCUUUAGUUCUUUCUCCUUGGGUUGUUCCUAAUGGCAGUGGCUCUUUCCCGUUUGUCGUGUUUUUCAUAGUUCUUUGCAAAUAAAUUUGCAAACAUUUGUUGGAUUUGUAUAUUUAUAAAUGAUUUAGUAUCGACAGA